RNAcentral lists this ribosomal RNA (342 nucleotides) under Hypocera mordellaria. RNAcentral's name for it is "partial 12S ribosomal RNA". Lineage: Eukaryota; Metazoa; Arthropoda; Insecta; Diptera; Phoridae. The record is from RNAcentral.
AAUGUAAUUAUAAAAACUAGAGUAUUAAUAGUUAUAUUCUUUAAACUUAAAAAAUUUGGCGGUAUUUUAGUCUAUUCAGAGGAACCUGUUUUGUAAUCGAUAAUCCACGAUGGACCUUACUUAGUUUUAUUUAUUAGUUUGUAUACCGUCGUUAUAGAAAAUUUUAUAAGAAUAAUAAUUUUCAAUAAAUUAAAUAAAAUCUUAUAUCAGAUCAAGGUGCAGCAUAUAAUUAAGUAAUAAUGGGUUACAAUAAAAUAAUUUAUAUGGAUAUAAAUAUGAAAAAUUUAUUGAAAGUGGAUUUGAAAGUAAAUUUAUAUAGAUUUGUAAAUUGAUUUUAGCUCU